Molecule: long non-coding RNA, 1531 nt
Organism: Ctenopharyngodon idella (grass carp)
Lineage: Eukaryota; Metazoa; Chordata; Actinopteri; Cypriniformes; Xenocyprididae
Exons: 5
Source: RefSeq, a predicted model, not a curated record
CUGACGACAGGUCGGGCAAGCACGAACAAGUUUAGACUUCAACAGGUAAGCUUAUUUCUCUCUGAUUGAGAAUAUUAGAUGCAUGCACCGUCAAACAUGUUUUAUUAUUUCAGCUCAUUUUGGUGCAGUUUUUCAAAACACAAAAAUUAAAGAAAAAAAAAAAAAGUCUCUAGCAGGUCCUAUGAUUUGUUUUGAUGAACUAUGGAACAGUCAUAACAGUGCUGAUCAAGCGCUGAGUUUAACUUGUUUUUCCACUUUAGCCACAGAAAUCAUGGCAAACCCCUCCGAGAGGAUUGAUCACGUGAGUACAUGUGAGUACAUGUUAACACCGUUUAUAUGCUUAAACUACAAAGCCUGCAUUAUUGUGACACACAAACUACAUGAAGUCCUGAAGUGUUUGUGCUUAUGCUCUCCAAGUGCUCAAAACUUCACAGCUCACAAAAUUACACUUCCCUUAUAACCAUGAUAGCAUGUGGCGGCAUCUUCUUCUUCCAGCCACACACACUUCACCAGCACGGGGAAAUGUGGAUUUGACAGAGGAAGACACACGCUGUAUCAAACUUGCAAAACACAUUCACAUCAACACAAGGAAGUGAGAAGGACUGUUGUCGGUCUGCUGUGAGGAACAUAUUCACAUCAAACACAAUCUAGUAUGUAUUCAUUAUACUCUAUUCCUCUCCUUCAAGCUCUAUUUAUUUCACAGCAGAUGCAAGAAAGUGUGGAGGAAACGACAGGAAUGGUGAGAGGGAGAAGAUGGAUGCAUCUAAUUUCCCGGUUUAGACCUGUUAAACACGCUUUAGUGUGUUCCAGCUGAAGCGUUCCUGCCUGCAUCAUUAGCCUGGAAAUGAUCAACAGUUGAGAUGUUGUAAUCCUGAUCCACGCUCACACACAAACUCUAGACCGGAUGCUGAAGCUGCACUCGUUUUUGACAGUUCUUCAGUCUGUUGUUUACGGCGUUAGUGAAUUAAUACCCAUAAUCAUGUCGUCCAACUGUCUCAACUUUGUAAGUAAAUGUGUUUUGUGUUUAAAUACUUGUGGGAUUUACACGUAAAUUCAUCCUCUUCUUCCAAAAAGGCGAGUGGCUUGUGACAUGAUGAAUGUAGUAAAUGUAAUGUUCACAUUCAUUGUGUUUGUGAAUAAAAUGGCUUUAAAUGAUGCUGUAAAUAUGCAGUGUGUGUCAUCAUACAAAACACAACAUUUAAAUAGUCUUCUUGCACAGCUGAGCAGCAGCAGCGAGGGGGAUGAAAAUAAAGUCUACACCUUGGUGGUGAGGGGCAGGAAGAGAUACAAGAUGCUCAAAAAGAUCAAUGACAGCUUGGAGUUAAGUGCUGCUGUGCCGGAGGAAGAGGCACAGCACUACAUGGAGAAAAACAAGGAGGAGAAGAGCCAGGAGUCGGCCUAAGUGUGAUGCCGCCCAGAGUGUUUCAUAGUUGAUGUUUUAUUGUAUUUGUAUAUAGUUCGUUUAGUGUUCCUAAUAAAAUUCCCCUUAAACCAUUGUUUAAUUUAUUUCUUUUAUUAGCGCCAACAAAGC